CCUCCCCUGCUCGCUGCCCUGCCGUCUCUUCUCAUUGUUCUGGGUCUUGGCCACACAGACCUUCCAAAAUAACUGCACAGUUGUCAUCAUUGUUUGGGAGGCUGUUUUGGAACAUUGGCUUAGCUGGUGAUGCGAGGGGAUCCAGGAAGGGCCCAGCUGUCGGGAGGCCCGGGGACUCGGGGAGCUGGGGGCGGAGAGGCGGUCACAGCGCCUGGGCGCAGGAGCUUCGGGGUGGGGGGAGUGCCCAGAGGUAGCAUGGUUUUGGCAAGUGUUGAGUCUUGGGGAGGGGAAUUGGGAAAGAGGGAGGAGAAAGGAUGAGAGGUGGGUGUAGGUUGGAGGGAAGCUAUUAUUGAAGCUGGAGGAAGAUACCAAGAGGACAGUGGUUCGCAGAGGAAGGGAGGGAAGAGCCGGUGGGUGCCGAGGGCCCCAUUGGUGUUUUGGCAUGUUGUUUAGAGAGUAAUUUCUGUGGCCUGGAGAACUCGUCCAUGGGCUGAUAGAAAAGUAAGUGGAGCAGAGGGACUUGAGGACUAACGGGCAGCUUGGUGUCGAGUCAGGGGACACCCUGACGUCCUCAGCUCUGUGGCUGGGGGUCAGACAGCUCCCCAGCCUCCAGCUUUGCAGAGACGGGGAGAGGGUGGACACAUCUCAAUAGGUGUUAGGAUGGAGCAGAGGGGCAGGUGAGUGUGAAAGGGGCAAAGGUGAAAUUCUCCUUUCUGUUUAAGUGGUCUCUUGAUUUCACAGGCUAGUAGAAACAGCCUAUCAUGAGUUAAAAACUCUGUUUCGCUGGUUCUUGCACGCCGUGAUCUCACCGAGUCUCUGGCCCCCCCCCAAGCCUGCUUCAAGCAUCUGGGGUCCCGUGACAUGUGAUUUAUAAUAAGAAAUAUGUAUUUGGUCUUUCUCGCCUUGUCUGGCACAGAGCUCCGAAAACUUGGAAUUUCCCAUGACCAGAGUGAGGGUGUCUUCUGUUAAUGACGUGACUUUUGGACAGCUCCUAGGUCACCUGGGGGGGUGGGGGCUGGUUGCCAGGGGACCCACCCACGUGCUUAGAAGGUUGGCACUUUCAGUCCCACCCCCACCCCAGGGAGGGCAGAGAGGCUAGAGGUGGAGAUCAGUCGCCAGUGGUGCGUGAGGUGAUCCACCGUGCCUCUGUCAUGAAGCCUCCACCCAAACCUAGAAAGGAUGGGGUCGGAGGUGCCCGAGAGCAUGGGGAGCGUGCCCCCUUCCCACAUGCCUUGCCUUUGCCUCUCCUCCACCCGGCUGUCCCUGAGUUACAUGCAUUUACAGUAAACCAGUGAUUAGUAAGUAAAAUGUUUCUCUGAGUUCUGUGAGCCAUUCUGUGGUAUAAACACUUUCACCACAGAGCAUUCCAAGCAAGUAAGGUGAUCGUGGGCUGGCUUGUAGACUUCCUCAAAAGUUCACAGUGAGUACUCUUGGGGGUUCCAGCUGGCUGCAGCGCAUCCCUGCCUGUGUACACCUGUGUGUCCAUCACCCAUAUCAAGACUUAGAACAUUUGCGUCAUUCCAGCAGCUAGUUACCUGGUGCCCCCUUGCAGUCAGUCCUCACCCCCUGUCCUGAGUAAACUUCUGUUCUGAUUUCUAUCACCACUGAUUAGAUUUUCAUAUUCUAGAACUUCAUAAAAAUACUGUGUGUAUAUACAUAUAUAUAUAUAUAUAUAUAUAUAUGUUAUUUUUUUGGUCUGGAUUUUUUGGGGCGGCUGAGAUUUGAGAUUCACCCAUAUUGCUGUGUUUAUCUGGUGGUUUGUCUUUUCUAUUGUGUGACUGUAUUUGUAGGUAUGUUGUAUGGAUUGACUACAAUCUUUCCCUCUGUUGAUGGACAUUUGGGUUGUUUCCAGUGUUGGGGUUUUCUGAGUAAUUUUGAAAGUACUUGAAAGAGUAUGAAAGCAGGAGGUUCUAAUAUUCUUGGCAAAGACUUUCUGGUGGAAAGAAGGGUUGAGUCUUAAAAAAUUUUUUUUAUUGAAGUUUAGUUGACCUACAGUGAGAAGGGAGGGGCCUUGAUGCUUUAGAUUUUACUGCUGAAAAUAAAGGAGUUUCUCGGAAAGUGUUGAGCACGUGGCUGGUAUUCAGUAAAUGUUAGUGGAAUCUCAAUUUGGUGAAAUUCUGUUUCUAGGCCCAGUGACCAGAAAUAAAUUAUUUCUUUGAGCAGGGUCAGAAUGAACCUUUCUAGAGAAAGGACAAUCUGGACUAUUAAAACAAAAACCCUCAGAGAUUCUGUCGUCUCAUUUGAUACAGCCACUUUGGGAAUAUUUCACAAUUUUAACAGUUAGGGGAAAUUUUCUAUGUUAAAAUUUUAUAUUAUACAUCUAAAAUCUAGUUAUUAUACAUAUGAAGUGGUUUACUUUAUACACAUUUUCUUUUUAAUUUAUAUACAUUAUCUCAUUUAAAUUGUACUGUAAUGUUGCAAGGUCAACCCCUCCCCCCUUUAAAGAUAAGGAAGACUGAAGCUCAGAGAUGUUAAGUGACUUUCCCAAGUUCACGAAGCCAGUGGGAAUUUGACCUCAGUUGUCUGACUCCAAAAUUCUUGCCUUUUUUCACUGCAAGGUGUUGGCUCCGCUCACAUCUCCGGACAGAUGGGCAGCACUUAUUACUGAAAUAAUUGCUGCCCAGUUUCCUUGGUUCCCUUUGAACGGUCUUCUCAACCAGACCAUAAGUCUUUUGAUUGCAGAACCUGUGUAUCCUGUGCACCAGUGGCUUCUAAAGUGGGAGAGCAAGGUGAUCCGUUGCGGUGUAAGAAGAAAACAUUAGAACCUCUGCUUAUUUUUAAUCUUACCUCUUCUGAUUUCUGCUUUUCUGUAUGUUCUAUAAUGCUCCUUUCAUUAUCAGAAUAGGUAAUAUUAUUUAAAUAAACCUACCUAUUAUAUAUUAUAUAUUAUAUAGGUAGGUUUACUUAGGGAUGCCUGUUGAAAACUUACUGACAAAGAUACGUGAUUUCAAAAGUUAGGAACACCCUGCCUAACUGAACUUCUCUGCUUUGUUGUUGCGGGCACUGAGCAUUCUGCUGGGCGUUGGAGGUUCACCCCAAAUCCGUGUGGUUCCGUCUCUCCAGGAGGGAGCUUACAGCGUACACUUGCACAUGGUUGGUGCUUCGUUGUGAAUGGAGGAGCUGAGCUUGUGUCUGGGUUCUUUACUCCAAGCCAGUAACUAUGCGACGAGCUUGUUUUUAAAAAGAAGGGUCUCUCAAUGAAUAUUUGAAAAGAACCUCCUCACGCCCUUGGCCGACGUUCCUGGGACUCCUGGCUUCCAGGGCGAGUUCCUCGCAGGGAUGCGUGAGCUGGUGUGAGGUGUCAGGGAGAGCGUCUAGGUGGAGAGGCAUUCUUGGCAGGACGGGCAGGCGAAGCUCAGGGGUCGUACAGCAGUUCCACUCCUGUUACUUAGAUUUUGUUCGACUGGGUCUCAGGGAGAUGCUGGUGAUCACGGGGUAGAGGUGGGUGUACAGCUAGCCCAAGCCACUUCAUAGUGCUGCCUCAGGGUAUCCUGAGCAAGUGAAGUAAAGACUGGGCAGGGGAGGCGAGAUGAGAAUGCAGCAGGAGAGCCAGGGUCCCAGCAGCUCUGCUGAGGACCCUGCAGUGGGCAGAGGAUCAGACCCAAAGAGAGAAUGUGUCUCGUAGCAACUGCCAGACUGCACCCAUCUCUCAACAGCUGUCAACCAUUUAUUAGUGGGACUCUGCUGAAGCCAAGGGGAGGCGGAGGGAGAGCAGACAAAUGGAGGAAAUAAAAUUGUGUUAAUUACCAGUCCAUUUCCAUGAUGCAGAGGUGACCCGGUCUGUCAUCUCCCGCCCCGGGGCUGGGGUUUUGUUGAGUCUGACAUUUGUGGGCCAGCGCUCCCAGCCGGGCAUCUGUUGGCCCCGUUGCCAUGGAGACAGCAGCUGCAGCAGCGUCUCCUUUGAGAAUGUGCCGCCCAAGAUUUCGGGAACCAUUUUGGAAGCAUUUGUCCCGACAGUGCGGGCUAAUCUCCCUUUCAUUUGUAAUUAUUUUAUCGCCUUGAUUCUCUGCUUUGGCAUCGUUCCCAAAGCUAACUCUGCUCCCCGACACUGGGGUCCGUGGGGAGGUGUCAGCGCCCCGGCCCCGUCUGGGUGGAGAUGAAAGGGCCGUGGAAGGCAGAGCCGUCCGGGGAGCACUGCGGUCUUCAAACAGGCCCUGUCUCCUGUCCGCAGCCCUGGGAGGGCCCGAGCCGAUUGAAGUGGCCCGAAUUAUGAAGCCCAAAGCCUUUGAGGCAAGCCGCCCCAUCCAGGCCAAGAAUAAUUGAACAAAUAGUUUAUCUGGCUAACCAACAGCUGUAGAGCCCGGGCGAUUUGGAGAGGAUUAGGGGAGAGCCGUGAGAGGAUACUCCCACAGGGCCCUUCAAAUCCUCAUCCUGAAUUCUACCAGCGAAGAACACAUGUUGAAACCCUGAAACUGCUUUUUAAGUCCAUUUCUCUCCUUUUCCAAGUGACUCUGUUCAGUGCUUCCAAGAAUUUUAACUGGCUAAGGCAACCAGCUUUGGGGUCCCUGCUGUUGGGUUCCUUCAGUUGCCCCCUUCAAUCCCCCCAAACUUUGUUUCAUCCCAGACAGCUCGGAUUCAUGUGGAAACUCUGAUCCCUCUGGGAGGUGCCUGAGGGCGGCUGCCUUGUCCCCAAGUCUGCAUUGCUGGCAGCUGCUGUAAUGUCUAAAGGUAGUGCCAGGGCCAAGUUCAGGUUGGGAGAGAAAAGGAGUCCAGGGGGGCUGAAUGGAGAGAGAGGACACAAGGAAUCCUCUUCCCUGUGCAAGAAGAAAUUGAAAAAAAAAAAGGCUCCAAACGGACCAAAGAUUUAAAUGUUUAAAAAAAAAUCCAUGUAAGUACAAAUGAGACCUUGGGAGGACGUGCGUUAAAACCUUUAUAACCCUGAGGUGACGAAUAUGUUUCUAACUCUGAUUCAAAAUCCAGAAAUCAUAAAACCAUAGAAAUCAUAGAAGACCGAUAAAUUUAACAAUAUGAAAAAGUCUGCGUGGCAAAACAUCACAGGCGAGUAGGAUAAACUAGGAAAAGCAUUUGCAGCUCACUUCACAGAUACCCAUCAGCAAAAGACCAGAAACCCCAAAGGGCGUUGGGCAAAGGCUGUGGGCAGACAGUUCACAGGGUGGAAAAAAGAAAUGGCCCCAAUUACGUAACAACGGUGUUCAACCUCACUCGCGUGACAGGAGCAACGCAAAUUAGAACUAUGCUGAAAUACUAUUUUUAACCUAUCAGAUUGGAAAAAGUCCAAAAAUUUGACAAUGUGCUGUGUUGGUGUACCUGUGAGGAAACCAAACUUUCCUUCCAUUAAUGCUGGCAGGUAGAAUGGGGAGUCAUUUGGCAAUAUCUGUCAAAGUUAUACGUGCACUUAAUCUUUGAGCCAACAAUAACUCUCUUGGGGACUGACCUAAUAGAAUUGCACGUGUCCAUGAUGACCUGCAAGAUUUGUUAACUGACACUGGUUUUUACUAGUAAACAACUGAGGGGGGAUGGUUAAAAAUAAAUUCAUCAAGAGGCAAGUAUUUAAAUAAAUCAUGGUACCUCCCCACAGGGGAAUACUAUGUAGCCAUAAAAAAGAAUGAGGCUGCUAUCUAGGAACUGAUUUCCCAGGAAUAUUAAGUGAAAAAAGUCCAGAUGCAAUGGGGUGUAUACAAUAUGCUACCUUUCCUAUAAAUAAGAGUGAAAAUAAGAAGACUGCUGCAUUUGUGUCACUUUACAGAGACUCUGGGGAAGGUAGAAGAGGCUGGUGAAAUGGCUUAGCUGUGGAGUGGGGAGGAGGUAACUGGGGUGGGAGUGAGACCGCAUGUGUACCUGUUUGUGUGAGUUGAUUUGGGGCUAAUGGAACACCGAUUCUGAAAAAUAAAACCACUUCAUGCAAGAGACAAAAA
This is a non-coding RNA of Vicugna pacos (alpaca), 5876 nucleotides long. Lineage: Eukaryota; Metazoa; Chordata; Mammalia; Artiodactyla; Camelidae. The record is from RefSeq and is a predicted model, not a curated record.